UGGUCAUGUGCUGUGCAAGUUU
Molecule: unclassified non-coding RNA, 22 nt
Filed under: Chlamydomonas reinhardtii
Lineage: Eukaryota; Viridiplantae; Chlorophyta; Chlorophyceae; Chlamydomonadales; Chlamydomonadaceae
Description: small RNA Cre_3436
Source: RNAcentral